CGUAAGAAUCUACCUAUAGGUUCGGGACAACAGUUAGAAAUGACUGCUAAUACCGGAUGUGCUUCGGGUGAAAGUUUAAUGCCUGUAGAUGAGCUUGCGUUCGAUUAGCUAGAUGGUGGGGUAACGGCCUACCAUGGCGACGAUCGAUAACUGGUCUGAGAGGAUGACCAGUCACACUGGGACUGAGACACGGCCCAGACUCCUACGGGAGGCAGCAGUGGGAAUUUUCCGCAAUGGGCGAAAGCCUGACGGAGCAAUACCGCGUGAGGGACGAAGGUCUGUGGAUUGUAAACCUCUUUUGUUGGGGAAGGUAAUGACGGUACCCAACGAAUAAGCAUCG
RNAcentral lists this ribosomal RNA (340 nucleotides) under uncultured cyanobacterium. RNAcentral describes it as "bacterial SSU rRNA". It matches the Rfam family "Bacterial small subunit ribosomal RNA", at positions 116 to 495 of the family's 1533-position model. The record is from RNAcentral. Lineage: Bacteria; Bacillati; Cyanobacteriota.